AGAGUUUGAUCAUGGCUCAGAACGAACGCUGGCGGCAGGCCUCAAACAUGCAAGUCUAGGGGGCGUAGCAAUACGUCACCGGCGGACGGGUGCGUAACACGUGGGAAUAUACCUUUCGGUACGGAACAACUGAGGGAAACUUCAGCUAAUACCGUAUACGUCCUAACGGAGAAAGAUUUAUCGCCGAAGGAUUAGCCCGCGUUCGAUUAGCUAGUUGGUGAGGUAAUGGCUCACCAAGGCAACGAUCGAUAGCUGUUCUGAGAGGAAGAUCAGCCACACUGGGACUGAGACACGGCCCAGACUCCUACGGGAGGCAGCAGUUGGGAAUCUUGGACAAUGGGGGAAACCCUGAUCCAGCCAUGCCGCGUGAGUGAUGAAGGCCUUCGGGUUGUAAAGCUCUUUUACCCGGGAAGAUAAUGACUGUACCGGGAGAAUAAGCUCCGGCUAACUUCGUGCCAGCAGCCGCGGUAAUACGAAGGGGGCUAGCGUUGUUCGGAAUUACUGGGCGUAAAGCGCGCGCAGGCGGUUUCUCAAGUCAGUGGUGAAAGCCCGGAGCUCAACUCCGGAACUGCCAUUGAAACUGUGAAACUUGAGGACGAGAGAGGUGAGUGGAAUUCCCAGUGUAGAGGUGAAAUUCGUAGAUAUUGGGAAGAACACCGGUGGCGAAGGCGGCUCACUGGCUCGUUUCUGACGCUCAGGCGCGACAGCGUGGGGAUCAAACAGGAUUAGAUACCCUAGUAGUCC
This 744-nucleotide ribosomal RNA is filed under the name uncultured bacterium. RNAcentral's name for it is "bacterial SSU rRNA". It matches the Rfam family "Bacterial small subunit ribosomal RNA", at positions 8 to 796 of the family's 1533-position model. The record is from RNAcentral.